CCUACGGGACGCAGCAGUGGGGAAUAUUGCGCAAUUGGCGAAAGCCUGACGCAGCGACGCCGCGUGAGGGAUGAAGGUCUUCGGAUCGUAAACCUCUGUCAGCAGGGAAGAACGGUCACUGUGCUAAUCAGCAGUGAAUUGACGGUACCUGCAAAGGAAGCACCGGCUAACUCCGUGCCAGCCGCCGCGGUAAUACGGAGGGUGCGAGCGUUAAUCGGAAUUACUGGGCGUAAAGCGCUCGUAGGCGGUAUGUCAAGUCAAGGGUGAAAUCCCCGCGCUCAACGUGGGAACUGCCUUUGAAACGGGCAAACUGGAGUGUGUGAGAGGAUAGUGGAAUUCCAGGUGUAGGAGUGAAAUCCGUAGAUAUCUGGCGGAACAUCAGUGGCGAAGGCGACUAUCUGGCACAUAACUGACGCUGAGGAGCGAAAGCGUGGGUAGCAAACAGGAUUAGAUACCCCAGUAGUC
RNAcentral lists this ribosomal RNA (465 nucleotides) under uncultured bacterium. Its description in RNAcentral is "partial 16S ribosomal RNA". It matches the Rfam family "Bacterial small subunit ribosomal RNA", at positions 338 to 795 of the family's 1533-position model. The record is from RNAcentral.